Molecule: ribosomal RNA, 253 nt
Filed under: uncultured bacterium
Lineage: Bacteria
Description: partial 16S ribosomal RNA
Rfam family: Bacterial small subunit ribosomal RNA
Source: RNAcentral
UACAGAGGGGGCAAGCGUUGUUCGGAAUUGCUGGGCGUAAAGGGCGCGUAGGCGGCCUUCUAAGUCGAACGUGAAAUCCCCGGGCUCAACCCGGGAACUGCGUCCGAUACUGGAAGGCUUGAAUCCGGGAGAGGGAUGCGGAAUUCCAGGUGUAGCGGUGAAAUGCGUAGAUAUCUGGAGGAACACCGGUGGCGAAGGCGGCAUCCUGGACCGGCAUUGACGCUGAGGCGCGAAAGCCAGGGGAGCAAACGGG